This 433-nucleotide ribosomal RNA is filed under the name uncultured bacterium. Its description in RNAcentral is "partial 16S ribosomal RNA". It matches the Rfam family "Bacterial small subunit ribosomal RNA", at positions 29 to 507 of the family's 1533-position model. The record is from RNAcentral.
AACGAACGCUGGCGGCAUGCCUAACACAUGCAAGUCGAACGAGACCUUCGGGUCUAGUGGCGCACGGGUGCGUAACGCGUGGGAAUCUGCCCUUGGGUUCGGAAUAACAGUUGGAAACGACUGCUAAUACCGGAUGAUGACGUAAGUCCAAAGAUUUAUCGCCCAAGGAUGAGCCCGCGUAGGAUUAGCUAGUUGGUGAGGUAAAGGCUCACCAAGGCGACGAUCCUUAGCUGGUCUGAGAGGAUGAUCAGCCACACUGGGACUGAGACACGGCCCAGACUCCUACGGGAGGCAGCAGUGGGGAAUAUUGGCCAAUGGGCGAAAGCCUGAUCCAGCAAUGCCGCGUGAGUGAUGAAGGCCUUAGGGUUGUAAAGCUCUUUUACCCGGGAUGAUAAUGACAGUACCGGGAGAAUAAGCUCCGGCUAACUCCGUG